UUCCACCCAUCCAGCCUGCCUGUCUGUCUCCUCCAGCUUUCUUUGUCAGUGGAUUCAACUGUGGAGAUCUACAACCAAUCCCACAGCAGUGGAAUCGAUUUACACGCCCCGUGAAAACAGAGGACGUCAACAUUCCCUUGAUCAACUCCUUAGUUCACUCCAGAAUUCAGAAAUGAAUUAAAUCCACUGGACACAUCAUGGAGCGUUUCGAAGAAACGGGGCUUCACCAUCCACUUACUGGCCUGUCAGGAGCACCAAAGGGCCAGUGUUAAAGCCUGAAAGUGGCAGGAUCUACUCCAAACUCAUCAACCAAAUCCUGGACAUCCAAAGCACUUGUAUGUAACGGAAAACUUUUCCUUUGUUUGGUUCCUAACAGCCCUGCAGAAACAUCCACCCCUGGACUCUGAUCACCCAGACUGUUAACCACUCCCUCCAAUCUGUCAGUGUCUGACCAGCACUUAAAACCGCUGUCAUUUGCCCUCUUCUGGAGAAAGGCACCCUGGACCAAUUACUGGACCCGAGCACUGUGUUUGACACUGUCAAUUACCAUAUUCUUCCCUGGGAAACCAUCGCACUGCCACAACGAGCUUUGGGUUGUUUCCAGUCCUAUCCCUCAGAAAGGACUGAAUAUCUGUCUUUAGAAGGUUCCAGAUGCCGGACCCACCACAUCACCUGUGGUCCACCAAGGAUCUGUCGUCGGACCCCGUGGUUGGUCCUGUUUGUACUGUUUGUCCUCAAAUCUCAGUCAUGUCGUCAGUCGGUUCCUCUGACACAUGGACCUGUCUGAACAUGUGCCUUGAAAUGAUAAGGGCAAGGAUAAAGUAAAAUGUCCUUUGCUGAACAGCAGGGAAAACAACACCAGCCUGCCCCUUCAGGUCCAGCACCACCCACAGCAGGGCAAAACACCUGUCUACUCCAGACGCUUCAUGACAUCCAGAAGAGACCUGCUGUGAUUGCGGAUUAGAGUGAGACCAUCACAUAACGCCAAACAGCCAAACACCUAGCCUCUCUGCGCUGGCUACCCUGUCAUUUUGGAUUGAAUACAAAAUCCUCCUGUUGACUCCUGUCCCCAGCCUUUGGAAUGUCCACCCGGAGUCCCGUAAGACACCACACAUCCUGGAAUCCUGCUAAAUGGGCCAUACGCCAUUUCAACAUAGGAGAGCUAUCUAUUGAUCGCUCUUUGCUCCUAUAAAAAUGUUUUAUAUCCAAGAAAAUGCCCUUGUUUCCAGACUUUGUUGGUUCGUAAUGAACACAUUUCUAAAAAUGUAGUACAUUACUUACUAUUAAUAUUAUAUCCAAUCUGGGGUGUGUUCAUAGAAGCGAAAUGUUCAAUUUUUUACGUGACACGUGAUCAUAGACAAUAAUAAUAAUGUGAAAGUUCUGUAACGUUGAACCCUCCUGACCGCGCAUCUGUUUACCGCACAGAUGUGUUGCAUCAUCAUCAUCAUGCGCUUUCUUCCUCUACUCUCUCGUCCUCCUCUCUACCGCAGCGCUGGCCUCGACCACAGGGAGGAGAGGUGUGCAAAAAGGCGGCUGAAAUCAAAAAUUAGGACAUUGAUUUUCGUGUGUGGGAGGGAGUUGGGGAGUGAGAGUGUGUGUGUGUGAUAUGUGAGAUGAUGAAUUUCAUUUGGGUUGCAGCCGUUUGCGUGACAGGAGGAAUGCGAAAAUAUUUGUUCAACACCACCGAUGCGUGCAUGUGCAUUUACGCACCCUGGAUCAUGAGAGUCGAAGGCAGAUCCUACAUUUAUCAGAUGAACUGUCUGUUAAUUCACAAACAUCAAAUUUCAAUGUAAGAUGAUCUCCGCCCCAAAUAGUCUAAAUUACACAUUUUUAAACACGAUUGAAGCAGGAAAUGUUUUGACUGAAAGACAUGUCACAGGACAGAGCUGCUAUGUUGUUUUAUUAUUUUGUUCAUUUUCUACGAUGCCGAGUUAAAAGACGCUGUUCCCGAAGUUGAUACCGGAAUUGUCCCAAAUAGCAAAACAGGUUAGUUGGGUCUCCGUUCAUGCAGUCCCUGGGCAGGUCUUCAACAACACAUUCAUCAUUCAGACAAAAGACCAGUCAUGUACCCUAUAACAGACAUUAUGUUCUAUACAAAGGUUUCGUUUUUCAUAACCCCUUUAUGACGAGACCAGGGCUGGCUAACCAUCCUCCUGGAUAGAUAGGCCAAAACCAGUGCAGAGUUCCAAAACCAUCUGCCUGGAAAGGGCUGCCAACGUUGCAGUAGCAUAAGAUCUAAAUGCCACCUCCACCAAUGUCACGAUCUGUGAGAGGGAGUUGUAAGGGACUUGAUCCAUGGAUCAGGAGGCGGAAGCACUACACCCAAUGCCACAAAAGCCUGAGCUUUGGGCGGAGGCCGUAGGGGUGUAGGAAGUUGUCUGACAUUUAGGGGAAACACAUUUUGGUCUGUGGGCCUGCCUCAUUUCGAGUGACUUGAGAAACGGAUUAAGACAAAGCUUAACUUUCAAAUGGGUAUUUUUUACCAGGCUUAACAAGGUUUAAGGGGGCCUUGCAAAGGGGAACUUACACUGGUACAAUUCAGUCUUUGGACCAUGUUCAUUAAUUCUGUGUUUGGUUUUGUACCAACUUAAUGUACAGUAUAUACACAAUUGUUCAUAACAAAGAUCACUGAACAUUUUGAGUUGGUUUGUUAAAACCUCUGUUGGUACUAAAAGCAAACAUAAAAUUACACUAUAGAUUUCGGGGAUGCACAUUUGCAUGCACCCAAAAUAUUUAAACAAGGGCCUUGGAUCACGGCAAGCUUGGCGUGCCAGAAUGUGGCAACGGAUCAGUUCUUUUUCGGAAAGGACCGGAUCUUUAAAGUAACUAAAUCAGAAUUCCAAUCGCUGCUGCUGAGAUCACAUUAGGUUGAUUGCCAAUUAGCGGUACAUGUGUGUCAGCCAUAGAAGAGGUCUGACAAUUAACACCUCGAUAUGUGAGUUUUCAAAGCAACAAGGCCACAAAGAGACUUCCAAAAAGGCCAAAUGGUCCGUCCCUGAAAUGAAGGUGCAUCGGUCGCAAAAACUGCCAAGUUUUUGUCUCAAAAAUCAUGACAGCAAAUACCAAACACGGGCUAAUCGCAUCAACAAAGAGAAACAUUGGUCCCAAGUUGAAGUUGACCAAUAGGGAGAGAUGGACACUUAACAGGAUAGUUGCUCAAUGCCCCACAAGUACAGCCUGAACAACUACUGUACCACAAGUCUGAAUCAGCACCUCUGUGACCCAGUCUGAAUAAAAACUAUAUGUCAUCAGCUUCUCAAAGCUGGAAUUUGUCAGGGCUGCCAUUCACCAACCGCAUGUUUUCGAGGCCAAUGCACAAAGCCUGGACACAGAGCAAUGGAAAAAAGUAAUAAGUUCUGAUGACUAAUCUUUCUCACCGUUCAUCAAGGUUCUGUCUGUAUUUUGCUCUGUUGGUAUUGGAUUGGCCAGGUGAUGAGCAGUACCUGAUUUCUUUCACACAUGAUGCUUAGCAUUCAGGCCAAAGAGUUCAAUCUUGGUAAUAAUAAUUUUGUUUUAAUGGUAUGAGAGUCCAAUCAGGCUGUUUACUGAGGAGUGGCUUGUGUCUGGCCAUUCUACCAUAUAGGCCUGAUUGGUGGAGUGCUGCAGAGAUGGUUCUCCUUCUGGAAGGUUCUCCCAACUUCACACAGGAAUUACGGGGCGCUGUCAGACUGACCUCCUCCCUGAACAAGGCCAAUCUCCCCGAUUGCACAUUUUGUCCAGACAGCAAGCUCUAGGAAGUGUUGGUAUGUCCAAACUUCUUCAAUUUAAGAAUGAUGGACCUUAAUUGCUGCAGAUAUUUUUUCGUACCCAAUCCUAUAUUCAUGUUCAACAGACAAUUCCUUCGACCUCAGGGCUUGGUUAUUGCCCUGACACACAAUGUCAACUGUUGGAUUUUUUAUAGACAGGUGUGAGCCUUUCCAAAUCAUGUCCAAUCCAUUGGGUUUAACACAGAUAGGACUACACUCAAGUUGUAGAAACAUUUCAAGGAUGAUCAAUGGACACAGGACGCACCUGAGAUAUAUUUUGAGUGCCAUACCAAAGGGUUUGAAUACUUAAAUAAAUGUGAUAUUCCUGAUUUUUAUUUUAAAACAUUUCCAGACAUUUCUAAAAACUUCAUUUUGUCUGUAGAUUGGUGAGGGAAAAAUCGAUUUAAUCCAUUUUGGGGUCAGAUUUUGAUCCAUUUUGGGGUCAGAAUAUAAUACAUUUUGGGGUCUCAGUUUAAUCUAUUUUGGGACCAAUAUUGUAUCCAUUUGGAGGUCAGAAUAUAAUCCAUUUGGUGGUCAGAAUAUAAUCCAUUUGGAGGUCAGAAUAUAAUCCAUUUUGGGGUCUGAAUUAAAUGCAUUUUGGGGUCUAAAUGUAUUUUAUUUUUGGGUCUGAAUACAAUCCGAAAGCACUGUAAUAGUUGCUGAUAGUGGUAAGUAUGUACUGUUCAUUCAUAUCUUAAUUAUUAGUCAGUCUGGACACUAGAACAUUUAAGUAGCCAGUAAUGUAGCCAAUGUAUUUCCUCAUAAUAUGUACAAUCUGUGUCUACUCUCUUUUUUAUUGGCCUGGCCUAUUGCCUGCUUGUACAAAUAUACAUGGGAAGUUUGAAGGCAGGGAGAGGCCGCUAUGCAAUUACAGACUCAUGAUAGGAUGAAGCUUUGGUUGCAUAGCUGGCUCACUUUCCCCUUCACUUUCCAUGUCAAUUUAUUUCAUAACCAUAAUGUUUUUUCCUACGUGUCAUAAAGUUGUGUUUUUACUGUUGUUUUUAUCCCCCAACUUUGUGAUUAAGAUCCUGCACACGUUUCAGCAGACUCAGGACAGUAGAUGUUGAGAUGUGUCCAUUGAAGCAAAACAAUUUGCUUUUCUGGUUCUUAUCGGGCUGCUCACACAAACAGGAAGUGAAGACUUGAAUCCGUAUAUGCCAGAAUGACACUCUGUCCCUCAAGCUGCCACAAGAAGAUGCUAGAAAGUCCAGGCAAC
Esox lucius (northern pike) is the source of this 4962-nucleotide long non-coding RNA. NCBI's taxonomy places the organism in Eukaryota, Metazoa, Chordata, Actinopteri, Esociformes, Esocidae. The record is from Ensembl.